ACGGAAGGCAGCAGUGGGGAAUAUUGCACAAUGGGCGAAAGCCUGAUGCAGCGACGCCGCGUGAGUGAAGAAGUAUUUCGGUAUGUAAAGCUCUAUCAGCAGGGAAGAAAAAUGACGGUACCUGACUAAGAAGCACCGGCUAAAUACGUGCCAGCAGCCGCGGUAAUACGUAUGGUGCAAGCGUUAUCCGGAUUUACUGGGUGUAAAGGGAGCGCAGGCGGUACGGCAAGUCUGAUGUGAAAGCCCGAGGCUCAACCCCGGUACUGCAUUGGAAACUGUCGAACUAGAGUGUCGGAGGGGUAAGCGGAAUUCCUAGUGUAGCGGUGAAAUGCGUAGAUAUUAGGAGGAACACCAGUGGCGAAGGCGGCUUACUGGACGAUAACUGACGCUGAGGCUCGAAAGCGUGGGGAGCAAACAGGAUUAGAUACCCUGGUA
Molecule: ribosomal RNA, 435 nt
Filed under: uncultured Roseburia sp.
Lineage: Bacteria; Bacillati; Bacillota; Clostridia; Lachnospirales; Lachnospiraceae
Description: partial 16S ribosomal RNA
Rfam family: Bacterial small subunit ribosomal RNA
Source: RNAcentral